GGUCUUUGGAGAGAGGGGAGGUGAUGGAUGUAGGGGUUUGAAGGAAACAGGGAAAGUUAUGGGUUCUCCCUGGGUUUCAGUAUUGGUGUUUUGUUUUGAAAACCCAGAUAUUUUCACCCUCCAGAGAGCUGCUGCUUUUAGGAAACGCCUUGUUUUCAUCCAGAUGUCUCUAAUAACAAGACUACAGGCACGUCGGCACUGCUGCAUUCCAGUCUACCCCCAACACAUUCCUCCCUGCGAGUCCUGUCCCCUCCCCGCUGCUGAUGGACAUUAAUGACCUCCCUCGGUAAUUAACACAUUGGGCACCGCUGUCAGCAUGAGAUGAGUCCCCAGUGCUGGACAAGCACAUUCUGUAUGUGCAGGGUGGGAUCAGUCCCGACUGCCCCUCCAUGCCAGUGUGCCCCUUUGCACCUGAGCUGCACCUGAGCUGCACCUGAGCUGCACCUGAGCUGCGCCCGAGCUGCCCCUGAACUGCCCCUGAGCUGCACCUGAGCUGCGCCUGAGCUGCGCCCGCCCCCUUUGCCCGCUGAGUGCAGGGCAGUGGGGGCACACGGAGCCUGUGGCUGCACCAUUCCUGCUGUUCCCCGUGGGAACACCUGAACUCGCACAUGCCAUGUGGGGCUCCUCACUGCUCCUCCAGGCACGCAAAGCUGUGUGGAGAAACACCCGUAAUCCUUGUUUCAGCAUCAUGAGGAAGUGCCGGUAGCAGAUAUGAAUUAUCCCUCUCCCAUAAAGACAAACACCUACAAGUAGUCUCUAUACUGUUGUAGGAUCAGGGAGACUGAGGCAGAGCAAAUGAGUGCUCCAAUCCCUGCAGCUCCUGCCCCAAGCUCAUCUCCCUGCCAUUGGGUCCAAUCACUGUCUGCAGUGCACCAGAGCUCCCUGAGCCUGCAAAUCCCACACCCAUGUGGCUUUUUAGCCAUGGAAACUUCAUCCAAAGGGAGAAAUUCUGUCGUCAAGGUGAAAAGCAUUGCUACUGAAAUGUGAUCAAAGAGAGAGUUAUCAACUUAAGUGUACUCAGGAGUUUCUGUUCCAGACAGAAGUAUCAAUGAGAAACCAAUCUUAUAAGGUAGCUGCUAUUGAUAGGGAAAUAAAAGGAAUACAGUUCUUACCAGACAGACCUAAGUUGCUCCAAAUUGCUGUCAGCUUGAAAUAUCUUGCUGGUAAUUUGUUUCCAAAUUCUUUCUCCCUAAAUUUGAUUUGUUGCUGUACAGUGGAUGAUCUAUUCUGCACAGCACCUCAAAGAGCAUUCCCGUUGUCCUCUCCCUGAUUGUUUGUGAGCUAUCACUUCUGGGAGUUGGCAGCCUUUAUUAUAAAAAGGGACAUCAUUGCUUGAAAAGCAGACUUUUGUCUGAGGCUGCCCUUACAAAUAGCAGCUGAGAUUACUGGGAGGAAAGUCAUCAAGGAAAAGACACUUUUCCUCCCCACUUUGGGCUUGUCCACAUGGACAAGCGGCCACUCUGUGUCUGUACCCUGGGGCAGGGGAAGGAUGGGGCAGCAUUUUCUAACAGGAUGUGAAUAAAUCUUUUCACCAGGAUCCCUUUUAACCAGGAUUAAAUCUCACCUCCUGUGGUACUGUAGCAAGCAGGAACAUCACACCCAGCAACUUUUUUCUGCUGAUCUCUGUUCUUUCUUAUGUGAGGGAGGAAGAGAGAACUCUGACUUAUGAAGUAUCCUGCUGGGUUCAGUGAUGUCUCCUACACGGUGUGUCCGGGGCUUUCCCAGGCCUCUGAGCAAUCGCCCUCAGCUCUCCAGAGGAUUUAUUUCUGCACACUUGACACAGAGGCAGAAAUGUGAAACUCCACCUCACCUCUCCAUCAGGAUGCGUCCAGCCUGUCUGUGGGUGACAAUGAGGAGAGCAGUAGCCUUGCCCUGGCUUUCUCUUUCAAGAAUAUAAAUGUGUCUUCUCCUGUCCUUUCUCUGCUUAACCCUCUCUGUCCAAUGGUUUAAGCAAAUUCUAGUCUGGGGACGAGAAGCUGCCUUAGCUUAUUUACACGGUUUUAAGGUGUGGGCAGAACAGGGAGACUUGGCAUCCCAGAAAUAAAGGCCUUUACUCAUCUUGUGUAUAUGGCCACAUUAGAUAAAAAGAAAUAAGGUAUUUCUGGGAAUGUAUGGGCAAUUAUAGCAUAUUUCUGCUCUCCAGAAGUACCCAUAUUGACAUUGCUGUGGGUAGGGCACUGCAGGCACCAUGUCAGGCACUUCAGCUCACCCCAAGAGCUUGUGCUGCACAUUGGACAGGUCUUGGUGCUAUGCAGAGAAUGGAGAGAACAGGAGAGUUGGGAGCUGGUGGAAGGAUUUCACUCUACCCACGCAGGCACUGGAAAAUUAAUAAUUGUUGCACAUGCUCGAGAGCAGCACAAAACACAGUGCUAAUUCAGCUGGCUGUAAUUUUGCCACACAGUUUACUCUGACAUCACAUCAGGGAGAGCUCCACUUAAGCAAUUGUAACAUCACUGAAAGGAUGGAAUUAAGAAAAAAGGAGAAGGAACAUAAACCUCCCACUAUUGUUAUUUUCAGAAAGCAAUAACAGGAAGAGCCAGUUAAAAGGCCUUGAGGCUCUGAGCUGUUAUUCCUCCCUGGAAACCAGCCACGUAAUACACAGGAAAACCCUGGAUUGUGUGUGGGGGCUGCUCUGUGCCCACCACAGGGAUGUGGGCCCAUUCCUGGGGCACAUGAGCACAUUCCCAUGGGCAGGGCCCCCCUCCCCACCCCACCUGUGGCCACCCUGGGCAUUUUGUCUGCUGUGGGAUACCCUGGGCAGCCAAUCCUCCAGCUGCUCCAGAGAAGCUUCUCCCAGGUGCCACUGGCAGGGCUGGAACACCUCUGUCUCCCCACACACAGGUAUUGCAGCAGGGCUGCUCAGGAACCAGCAAUUUUUCCUCUUUGCAGGAGCAGGCUGAGCCUUUCUGAGGUGACCGAAUGCAGGUGUCAAGCAGGCAGGAGCAGCAGAAAUCAAUCUCUCACUGCUUAAAAAUAUAUCUGUAUACCAGAUCUGAACCCUUUCCUCCAGAGUCUUGUGGCAGAAAUGGAGUUUUAAAAUGCUCAAUUAUUUAUAGCUGAAAUGCUGGGGAAAAAAAAUAACCUCAUUUGUCGUGCUGGAGCAGAACGUGCUGGUCCCCAUCACCCACUGCUUGCACAAUGCCUGAGAGUCAUGAGAUCUGGGCAGGGGGAUGAGGAACAAGGAGCAAGGAGUGCCUGAAAGCAAGGUGCCAGCGCCCCAAAGAAGAGCCAGUUCACUCAGACAUGGUCAAACCCAAAUCACGACAAGUCUGAGGUGUCCCAAGCGCUGCUUUCAAGCCUGGGUGUUAAUUAUCACCAAUUAGGUGGGGUGGGUGGUUCCUUAAGUACAGGCUUCUCCUGGCAAAUGGGGACAGGUUUUGUAGAUAGACCCACAGAUGCUGUGUGGAAGGGGUGCUUUGGAGAAUUAACAGCUUUUUAGGAGGGAACCUGUGGGAGUUCCUCCAGAGGAGGACUGUCUGCCUAAACUUGCUUUUGGUUUUCUUUCACUGUGUCUUGGCAGAGCUGCUGCUUGUCAAGGGCCUGGCAUGGGGAAUGGGCACUGCAGGUCCCUGCCUGGUGAAAGGACACAUCACAAACUGCAGUCACACAUGACAGGAAAAGCAGCAAGAGGAGGGGAAAGGGAAAGCAAAAGUCAGAGACCAGGGGAUGUAAAGACAUCAAGUGUCACAUGGCUUCUGGACGGGGAAUUUGAAGAAUUUUCCAUGGCUUUAGAGCAGAAUAGAAUCAUUACAGCUCUGUAGAGCCUUUCUCCCUUACUGAGUUCCUCACUGGUGCCCAAUGCUCAUAGAAAGGCAGGAGUAUGGGGACAAUGAAUUGGAGAGAUGGUUUGGAGCCCAAUUAAGUACCUUCAUUUGUGUGAUUUUAUCCAGAAGGUGAGAACCACCACCCCUUCUCCCUGCUCCCUCCUGGGGAACAGACUUCAUUUUCCCUGUCCUGGAGAACAUGGGCAUUAGGAGGGCUCUGAAAUCCCUCUGCCUUGCACUCAGCUGCUUUGUGGUGCGUUGCACUGAGCAGUGGUUAAAAACCUCAGGGAUGAUGAGGAAAGUGCCUGUAACCAUGGCAAUGCUCUGCAGCCACAUUCUCCCCCCCUGCAGCCCUGCCCAGAGGACCUGGAGCCACCCCUUGUCCUGUAGCAAGCAGGAACGGGUCCCACCACCUGCAUCACCUCUCCCUGAGUUACAGAUGAGCAACGAGAUGGUUGGCUCUCACAAUCAAGGGGUGAACGUUAUAUGUACGCCAAGAGAAGUUUUGUAGAUGUAUAGUUGUGUUACUGUAAUGUGUCCUCCCCCUUGCAUUAUUAUGGGAUGGCCUUGGUACUCGGGGCAUUUGGGAGGGUUGGCUUGUUACUAUGGUAACACCUGACCUCCGACCAAGGUGUGAGAAAGUGAUCUCCACCACUGGGCAGCAAGGAAGGAGUCACUGACAAGACUUUAGGAGGGGCUAGAGGUAUAAAAGGGGGAGCAUCCAUUUUUAAUAAAAUUUUAAAAAGUGAGCAGUUGUUUCACAGGGGUUAAGGACAAAGGUGCCCUAAGAGGAUCUUCAUGAAAGGACAUUUUGUUUGAGCUUUGAGACAAGACUUGGCCUGUCCCUGGGAGCAUCACCUGUCUCUGAAGACUUUGUUCCUUCUCACAUGCAGGAGAUUUUGGGCCACAUCAUGCAGUGAAACCAGUAAAAGUUACAGCAUUUGACUGCUGAGGAACUGGUGGCUUGGCCUUCAAUUAGGAUAAAGCUGUUUAAUUCCUUCCCACCUCAGUGCUACCUUCCUGCACAGCCCCGUUAGUGAGGCUGGCAUACAGAAUGUUAGGGAUUAAUGAGACAGGUGAUUAAAUACAGUCCUGAUUACAUCCAACCCCGGGAGGAUGGAUGUGGAACUGCCCUGCUGUGAAUUAAGUAAUAAAGUGGGAAAAGGUAGAAAACAUAGCAGGGCAGUGGUUCUAUUUCAUUAACCCCCUCAUGCCUGCCAGUGCUGGCACCUCUGCCCAGUGCAGGUGUGAUUGCAAUGUGAUUUUGGGACCCUGGGCACAUCUGGCCCUCAGCCAGAGCCAGGGACAGGUGCUUGUACCAGGACCAGCAACACCGUCAGGAGGGAGAAACAGGAAAAAAGCAGCUGUGCAUGGAACUACUGCCACCUCCUUGUGCUGAUAUUCAGAAUAAAAAUCCCAUCGUUGCCACACUUUCACCCUAGCACCUCCUCUGAGCAGUGUAGCUGAUUCCUGGGGGAUGGUGCAACAGGUACCUUGUGGUGCAGAGCAGCAGCACAUAUUUUUAGGACAGACAGAUUCCAACAGUACCUCCAUGCCUUUGCAGAAGCUAUCCAAAAUCCUGUGGAAGUCUGAAAGUAGGGAGGUUGGGAAGAGCGAUAGUCAAGACCUUCCAGCAAGAGCACUUUAAAUCAAUGGCUCUAAAAGGGCAGUGGCAGCCAGCACCAUUAUCCCCUCCUUACAGACGGGAAAACCAAGGAAAUUAUUUGCCUUGUGUAACCCAGAAGUGUUGGGAAUGCAGCAAGAUCCCAGACCAGGGGAAUCUCAGCUCCUGGGCAUAAGUGAGUCCUCAGAUGUCAGCACCAAAGGCUAUAAAACCUGAGCCCUGCUGGCAGGUGCACUUGGGGAUGUCUCAGUGCUGGCAGGUCUGACAGGCAGUUCAGGCUGCCCAGCCCUAGGCCCUCUGCUUCACUUUUAUCCCUUCCAAGGAUAAAAGCUUCCCGUGAGCACCACUAAGAUCUCUGAGAGCAGAUAACUCCAAGCCAUCCAUCUGCCUGCAGGCACAGAGCGCAGAGCCCCCUCCGGGCAGGGGCUCUGAAAAUUCUGCCUUUGUGCUCUCCCAAACCUCCUGCUGCUGACCACAAAACGGCCGAGUCUUGACUGCACAGCCCCUGGAGUUCAAAUUCCCAUUUUUUGCCUGGCACUGGGGCACUUUACCCACACCCUCCUCCUGCUGCCAGCUCUAACGCAGUUACAGAGGAGCAUUCAGCCCACUCAGGAGCAGAGCAGCCCACUUGUAAACUUAAUAGUACUUGAGGUUUGCUCAGAGUUCAUGCCCCAGGUUGCAGUUAGAUGGAGUGAAGGAGUCCCAAGUGCUUCUGAUGGAUAUAAAAAGGAUAUGCAAUCAGAUGUGCACUUAAGCAAGUAUAUUACCAAGUUAAAUGACUACAGUUUUACUAAGCUAAUUAAAAAUGGAACAAAGUGAUGAUCAGAUUAAGGUCAUAAUUAAUAACUCUAUAGGUUCAAAUUAUCCAGUCACCCAAUAAAUUCUCCAUGUAAUCAGAGAGAGCCACAGCUGAUAACUUGAGGGAAUUCGUGUCCUACUCAGAGGUCUUCAGGAGGCAAGAGCUGCCUUAGGAGCAGUGACCUCAGCUCUGAGGUUAUGUGCUAACCCUGCUGCCCAGCAGACUUUCCCUGAGGCUCCUGUGUCUAUUCCAGGUUGCCUCCUCCAAGGGAAGUGAGUGGACUGAGGAGGGGUCCCCACCUCCUGAGAAAUCAGGGCAGAGUGGUGUCUUGCCAUGGUUUGUCUGGUUUUUAGCAGGGAUGAAGCUUUCUACAGAGCCCAGCAUUUGGUUUGUGCUAUAUUUGCACUUGGUGGUUUAAGACCCUCUCUUUGGGUGCUCUCCAAGCGGUUGAGCUCUGACAUCCUCCACCAGCUGAUGCCAGGCCCUUGGGUACCCAACUGAUGGGGACAGAGAGGCUGCCCAGCGCCUCCCUGAUACUUCCCCAGCUCCUCAUUAGCUCCUGCCAAUGCCCAGCGUGCUGCUCUCUGUGUUGGGAUUUGGAUUCUUUCCAUCCUCAAUGCCCAGGAUUUGGCCAAGUUAAUGUUUUAAGAGGGUUGUUUGUCUUCUUGUUGCUCAGAGCCUGGAAUAGCUGUAAGAGAAGGAGAGUUUGCCAAUUAUAUUAUCCUAUUGUUAAUUAUCUUAAUUAUGAGUAUGCUGCUAGGUGACAUCUCCCCUGGAGUCUUGUGCUGCAGCGUUCAGGUCCUGAAUCCCUGGGGUCUGCACAUGGAGACCCAUCCAGACCCUUUCUGGGGCUCACAAGCAGUGGGAAAUGAGCCCUGAGAGAUGCAGGGAGAGCUGCAUCACCCAAAAGACUUCCCAAAGCAGAGGGAAAGCUGCGAGAUGGGGAUGCUGAGGGUGCUGGGGACACCUUUGUGCCAGGACUCCCUGAAGCUGAGACUGGGGAUACAUGCAGCACCCCAGUGGAUUUCUGAUGGAUUCAGGGGAAAUUGGAAAGGUCCCCUCUGGUUCUCCUCCACCCACAGCCCUGGGGCAGCUCUGGCUGGUUCCCUUCCCUCCCAGACUGUUUCAUAGCCUGAAGCUGCUGUUUACAAAAAGCAAAUGUUUUACCGUUGGCUAAUCCGCCUUGUUUGCAAAAGCCCUGAAGGCUCAUUUUAAUUGCAAGUAAAUGAUUCUUAAUGAUAUAAAUCAGAGCCAGGGAGUGUUUGUGAUAUCUUGCACUGUAACCAGGAGUCAAGAAAAGAAUUAGUCUCAAAUUGAAAAGGGGAAGGUUUCCAUCUGAAAUUGGGCAAAUAUGAGGCUUCAUCAAGGAAAGAUAAUCACUUGGCGGGAUAAUAAUGAGGCUUCAGCUUAUCAGUUUUGCAUGGAGAAUCCUUAAUACGCCUGUAGUGUGGUUUGCUGCCAUGAGCAGUGUGAGAGACGGCUCAAUAAGAAAGGUAAUGGAGAGAGAAGAGCUGUGGCAGCCCUCAGCUAUUCCCCAGCCCAGAGGCUCAGGCCCACCUGGCUUCAAAAAAAAAAAAUCAGGAAAAUGGAAGCAGAUCACACAGGUGACAAAGUGUCUGGCUGAGCAGCAAGGCUCUGCUUUGGUGGGUGCCCCUCUUGCUCUGCCAGCAUGGCCCCAAACAGGGCUCCCAGCUCGCUCUCUACCAGGAUCCUACCCGAGCUCCUGGGACCAGCAGGAGUUUUUCUGUUGGUCUCACUUCCAGCUGGAUUAGCCCCAGACUGUGGAUGUACAAAAGUGUGGGGACACGAGGUAGUUGAGGUCUGGCAGGUUUGGGGGUGCUCUCCCCAUCCCACUCCUCUCCGGGAGGUUCCCCAGGGGUGAGGGAUGGGCUCAGACUUGCAGACACUGGGCAUCCCUUUCUCUCCCUCUGCCAGUGAGGACCCUCAGCCAGGACAGCAUGGGAGAGCUCUUUGGGAAGCAGCUGGCACAGCUGGGAUGUUCCUAAGUCAAUGGGGGUCCCCCAAAGGGACAGGGAUCCCCAAGGCCAUCCUGGCCUAGAGACCAGGUGGGAAGCAGGACCAGCAGGAUCUGCAGUGGGAGAGUUGUCACAGCAGAGCUGCUGGACCUGCUGGCCAAAGGGCUCUUGUGUCCUGCCUGCUGUGCCCAAAUGGCAGCCAGUAAUGUGUGUACAAUUAGCAGUGGGCUGUAAUUGCUGUCUGUAACCUCUUGGGCUGUCGGGAGGAUAAACCCAGCUCAGAGAGCCCGGCGCUGGGCCAGGCUCUGGCUUUGCAGCCAGCAAGGCUGUGCCAGAGCCGAGCUGUGCCCUGACCCCCUGCUCAGAGCCCAGCACAAACACAGCUCCCCCGGAGCAUCCCCCGGGCUGGGACAGGGGCUGACCCCAGAGAAGGGGCAGAGGCCGGGGCAGGGCUGGGGAGUGGGUGCAGCUGCUGCUGAGCAAAGCUCUGGGUUCAUUACCAACCUUUUCAAAACCAGAGCUUAAAAAUAUCCCCCGCUCGCAGGGGCUGGCUCAGCUGCACGGCUGGUCCUCAUCUCCCUCUCGGGAUAUAAAUAGGCAGCAGUGAAUAGCAGCGCUGGCCCAGCGCUUUUCACGCUGCUGCACAGGAGGGGACGGUGGCACCAGCUCCGUGGGUGGCUGGGGACAUUGGCUGAGCAGCCUGGCCACGUCCCACCGAGCUGGGCUGAGGCUUCAGGUGUCACAACAGGAGCUGCUUCCAGCUCAAAGCAAAUGCAACCAGGAGAGCAGCCAGCAAAAGAGGGGUGCAGUUUUGGGAUGGGGAUGAAGGAGGAGAACUGUCCCAGCUGGCUGGGAUCUGCAAACCCCUCCUGGCCCCCCUGGGAUGUACCCUGGGGACGGUGCUGGCAAUGGGAGCUGCUUCUGGACAAGCUUGGCUUUUCUUUCACAAGGUCAAAGUCUUUUAGGGGAAAUGGGUGAUUUUGUGAUAAAUUUUGUGGCAAAAUUAUAAAUUUACCAUUU
Molecule: non-coding RNA, 9183 nt
Organism: Taeniopygia guttata (zebra finch)
Lineage: Eukaryota; Metazoa; Chordata; Aves; Passeriformes; Estrildidae
Source: RefSeq, a predicted model, not a curated record